UCUUUUCGCGAUCCAUUUCGUCCUAAAUAAAUCCAAAGAGUUGAAUGGGUAACUAACGUAACUAAAGUAUAAUCAUGCCAGAUGGUAUUGCAUUAGACAGUAACACCUUAGCUAAAUUUAGCAUAUCAGGUGUGGGAAUUGUUACGUUCAAUACAUAUAUAUAUAUAGUGGAGGGCGAAAAUUAAUAAACCCUUGUAACUGUUUUCAGUGGUUUGCGGGUGAGCCGUUUCAAGACAAAAUGUCUGCCCUUUCCUAGAAUAUGCUCACACCCUAAGUAUUUGUAAUUUCUUGUUGAGUAACUAACGGUUAAUCAAUUAACCUUGGUUACAGCUCGACUAACUGCCCUUGUAAAUACGGAAAACUGUCUGAAACACCUAUUAUGGUCUUUAUUCAACCACUGCAGACAUGCAUCUAAGAUUGUUCAACAAAUCGGAAGUCUUGACUUCCAGGCCUUAAAUUGUUUGCCUCACUAAAAGUAGAUCGAGCUACACAACUGCUUUGUCGUCUUGAUACACAAUUUCACCUGUAAC
RNAcentral lists this long non-coding RNA (530 nucleotides) under Mytilus galloprovincialis (Mediterranean mussel). The record is from RNAcentral. Lineage: Eukaryota; Metazoa; Mollusca; Bivalvia; Mytilida; Mytilidae.